Molecule: non-coding RNA, 134 nt
Organism: Erinaceus europaeus (western European hedgehog)
Lineage: Eukaryota; Metazoa; Chordata; Mammalia; Eulipotyphla; Erinaceidae
Source: Rfam
UUUGCAUUGAAUCAAGCAAAGUAGCUGCAGAUUUCCGGUGCGGAUCUGAAAUGUGUGUGGGCUCAGGACCCACAAGCUAAACGCAAUUCCUUCCUUUUGCGCCGCAUAGAUUGGAGGUUCAGGGAAGCCUUCGG